UACGGGGGGGGCAAGCGUUGUUCGGAAUUACUGGGCGUAAAGCGCCCGUAGGCGGCCUGACAAGUUGGACGUGAAAGCUCCUGGCUUAACUGGGAGAGGCCGUUCAAAACUGUCAAGCUAGAGUCUGGAAGAGGAGAGCGGAAUUCCCGGUGUAGUGGUGGAAUGCGUAGAGAUCGGGAGGAACACCAGUGGCGAAAGCGGCUCUCUGGUCCAAAACUGACGCUGAGGGGCGAAAGCGUGGGGAGCGAACGGG
Molecule: ribosomal RNA, 253 nt
Filed under: uncultured bacterium
Lineage: Bacteria
Description: partial 16S ribosomal RNA
Rfam family: Bacterial small subunit ribosomal RNA
Source: RNAcentral